UACGGGAGUGGCAAGCGUUAUCCGGAAUUAUUGGGCGUAAAGCGUCCGCAGGCGGCCUUGAAAGUCUGUCGUCAAAGCGUGGAGCUCAACUCCAUUUCGGCGAUGGAAACUGUAAGGCUGGUGUGUGGUAGGGGCAGAGGGAAUUCCCGGUGUAGCGGUGAAAUGCGUAGAUAUCGGGAAGAACACCAGUGGCGAAGGCGCUCUGCUGGGCCAUAACUGACGCUCAUGGACGAAAGCCAGGGGAGCGAAAGGG
This 253-nucleotide ribosomal RNA is filed under the name uncultured bacterium. RNAcentral's name for it is "partial 16S ribosomal RNA". It matches the Rfam family "Bacterial small subunit ribosomal RNA", at positions 524 to 776 of the family's 1533-position model. The record is from RNAcentral.